AUUAAACAAGAUUACAAAUUUAUAUUUAGAAUCUAAAUUUUCAAACUUUUGGUACCAACCUACUAUUUUUUUGUGGUUUAAAGUCAUUGGAAACUAAUAUAAUGUCAUUUUAGUAACCUAAAACCACACAUAAUUUUUAACUAAUUAUUCUUAAAUUCAACUCUAAUUUUUUUUAUAUUCUAAAAAAAUUAAUCUUGAUUCAAUUUUUUAUAAGAU
RNAcentral lists this long non-coding RNA (216 nucleotides) under Physcomitrium patens. Its description in RNAcentral is "long non-coding RNA (PPAT_LNC011386)". Lineage: Eukaryota; Viridiplantae; Streptophyta; Bryopsida; Funariales; Funariaceae. The record is from RNAcentral.